GGAAGUAAAAGUCGAACAAGGUUUCCGUAGGUGAACCUGCGGAAGGAUCAUUACUGAGUGAGGGCCCCUCGGGGUCCAACCUCCCACCCGUGUUUAACGAACCUUGUUGCUUCGGCGGGCCCGCCUCACGGCCGCCGGGGGGCAUCUGCCCCCGGGCCCGCGCCCGCCGAAGCCACCUGUGAACGCUGUCUGAAGUAUGCAGUCUGAGACAAUCAUUAAAUUAAUUAAAACUUUCAACAACGGAUCUCUUGGUUCCG
RNAcentral lists this unclassified non-coding RNA (257 nucleotides) under plant metagenome. Its description in RNAcentral is "partial contains small subunit ribosomal RNA, internal transcribed spacer 1, and 5.8S ribosomal RNA". The stretch from base 1 to 53 matches the Rfam family "Eukaryotic small subunit ribosomal RNA", at positions 1778 to 1831 of the family's 1831-position model. The record is from RNAcentral.